RNAcentral lists this ribosomal RNA (145 nucleotides) under Proctophyllodes stylifer. RNAcentral's name for it is "5.8S ribosomal RNA". It matches the Rfam family "5.8S ribosomal RNA". From Rfam's summary of the family: 5.8S ribosomal RNA (5.8S rRNA) is a component of the large subunit of the eukaryotic ribosome. It is transcribed by RNA polymerase I as part of the 45S precursor that also contains 18S and 28S rRNA. Functionally, it is thought that 5.8S rRNA may be involved in ribosome translocation. RNAcentral also lists the same sequence under 1 other name. Lineage: Eukaryota; Metazoa; Arthropoda; Arachnida; Sarcoptiformes; Proctophyllodidae. The record is from RNAcentral.
UGGUGGAUCACUCGGCUCGCUGGUCGAGGAAGAACGUAGCUAGCUACGUUAAUCGGUGUGAAAUGCAGGACACUCCGAUCACUCGACAUUCGAACGCACAUUGCAGCCAUUGGAUAUCCAAUGGCUUCGUUUGUCUGAGCGUCGU